GCCGGGCGUGGUGGCGCACGUCUGUAAUUCCAGCUACCUGGGAGGCUGAGGCAGGAGAAUUGCUUGAACCUGGGAGGCAGAGAUUGCAGUGAGCUGAGAUUGCAGUGAGCCGAGAUUGCACCACUGCACUCUAGCCUGGGUGACAAAGUGAGACUCUGUCUCAA
RNAcentral lists this non-coding RNA (164 nucleotides) under Pan paniscus (pygmy chimpanzee). RNAcentral also lists the same sequence under 1 other name. The record is from Rfam by way of RNAcentral. Lineage: Eukaryota; Metazoa; Chordata; Mammalia; Primates; Hominidae.